RNAcentral lists this long non-coding RNA (253 nucleotides) under Elaeis guineensis (African oil palm). RNAcentral describes it as "long non-coding RNA (EGUI_LNC027246)". Lineage: Eukaryota; Viridiplantae; Streptophyta; Magnoliopsida; Arecales; Arecaceae. The record is from RNAcentral.
CAUGUGCUGGGCCGUGCACUCAUGGCCGGCCCACGUGCCGUCAUGCGUGCUUGCUACGCCGUAGCCUCCACUGCUUCAUGGGCCGUGCUAGCUUUUCUCGCACAUAACUUCACCGUUUGAACUUUAUUUGAGCUGUUCUUGGGCUCGUUGGACUCCAUUUAUCAUCCUAGACCUCGCUGUGGGCUCAGUGUGGACUGAAUCUCGAAGCGUCAAAUUCUAACAUUAAAUGGAUCUGGAAGAUGUUAGUGGCGCC